GAUGAACGCUGGCGGCGUGCCUAAUACAUGCAAGUCGAACGAAACUUCUUUAUCACCGAGUGCUUGCACUCACCGACAAAGAGUUGAGUGGCGAACGGGUGAGUAACACGUGGGCAACCUGCCCAAAAGAGGGGGAUAAUACUUGGAAACAGAUGCUAAUACCGCAUAACCAUAGUUACCGCAUGGUAACUAUGUAAAAGGUGGCUAUACUACCGCUUUUGGAUGGGCCCGCGGCGCAUUAGCUAGUUGGUAGGGUAAAGGCUUACCAAGGCAAUGAUGCGUAGCCGAAUUGAGAGGUUGAUCGGCCACAUUGGGACUGAGACACGGCCCAAACUCCUACGGGAGGCAGCAGUAGGGAAUCUUCCACAAUGGGCGAAAGCCUGAUGGAGCAACGCCGCGUGGGUGAAGAAGGUCUUCGGAUCGUAAAACCCUGUUGUUAGAGAAGAAAGUGCGUGAGAGUAACUGUUCACGUUUCGACGGUAUCUAACCAGAAAGCCACGGCUAACUACGUG
Molecule: ribosomal RNA, 512 nt
Filed under: uncultured bacterium
Lineage: Bacteria
Description: partial 16S ribosomal RNA
Rfam family: Bacterial small subunit ribosomal RNA
Source: RNAcentral